RNAcentral lists this ribosomal RNA (1429 nucleotides) under Lycoperdon wrightii. Its description in RNAcentral is "eukaryotic LSU rRNA". The stretch from base 516 to 1429 matches the Rfam family "Eukaryotic large subunit ribosomal RNA", at positions 1 to 924 of the family's 3401-position model. The record is from RNAcentral. Lineage: Eukaryota; Fungi; Basidiomycota; Agaricomycetes; Agaricales; Lycoperdaceae.
CGAGGCAUGUGCACACUCGGCUCAUCCACUCUCAACCUCUGUGCACCCUUUGUAAGAAAUUGUGUCGAAACUGGCUUUUGUUAGCUGGUGGAAAGCUUUUUCUUAUGUUUAUUACAAACGCUUCAGUUUUAGAAUGUUUACUGUGUAUAACACAAUAUAUACAACUUUCAGCAACGGAUCUCUUGGCUCUCGCAUCGAUGAAGAACGCAGCGAAAUGCGAUAAGUAAUGUGAAUUGCAGAAUUCAGUGAAUCAUCGAAUCUUUGAACGCACCUUGCGCUCCUUGGUAUUCCGAGGAGCAUGCCUGUUUGAGUGUCAUGGAAUUCUCAACCUUCAAUCUCAUUAUUGUAGGCUUGGAUGUGGGGGUUGUGUCGGAUCCCAGUUAUUCGACUCCUCUUAAAUGCAUUAGCGUGAAUCUUACGAAUCAUCUUCAGUGUGAUAAUUAUCUGCGCUGUGGUGUUGAAGUAUUUAUUGAUCAUGCUUACAAUCGUCCUUUACCGGACAACUAUUGACAAUCUGACCUCAAAUCAGGUAGGACUACCCGCUGAACUUAAGCAUAUCAAUAAGCGGAGGAAAAGAAACUAACAAGGAUUCCCCUAGUAACUGCGAGUGAAGCGGGAAAAGCUCAAAUUUAAAAUCUGGCGGCUUUGGUCGUCCGAGUUGUAUUCUAGAGAAGUGUUUUCCGCGUUGGACCGUGUACAAGUCUCUUGGAACAGAGCGUCAUAGAGGGUGAGAAUCCCGUCUUUGACACGGACUACCAAUGCUUUGUGAUGCGCUCUCAAAGAGUCGAGUUGUUUGGGAAUGCAGCUCAAAAUGGGUGGUAAAUUCCAUCUAAAGCUAAAUAUUGGCGAGAGACCGAUAGCGAACAAGUACCGUGAGGGAAAGAUGAAAAGCACUUUGGAAAGAGAGUUAAACAGUACGUGAAAUUGCUGAAAGGGAAACGCUUGAAGUCAGUCGCGUUGUCUAGAACUCAGCCAGGUUUACUUGGUGCAUUUUCUAGUUAACGGGCCAGCAUCAGUUUUGACUGCAGGAAAAAGGCUAGAGAAAUGUGGCAUCUUCGGAUGUGUUAUAGUCUCUGGUUGCAUACUGUGGUUGGGAUUGAGGCUCUCAGCACGCUUUUGUUGUGCUUAGGAUGCUGGCGUAAUGGCUUUAAACGACCCGUCUUGAAACACGGACCAAGGAGUCUAACAAAUCUGCGAGUAUUUGGGUGGUAAACCCGAGUGCGCAAUGAAAGUGAAAGUUGGGAUCUCUGUCGUGGAGAGCACCGACGCCCGGACCAGACCUUUUGUGACGGAUCUGCGGUAGAGCAUAUUUGUUGGGACCCGAAAGAUGGUGAACUAUGCCUGAAUAGGGUGAAGCCAGAGGAAACUCUGGUGGAGGCUCGUAGCGAUUCUGACGUGCAAAUCGAUCGUCAAAUUUGGGUAUAGGGGC